GGUAAGAAAUUGCAUUCCGUUAAGCAAAACUGCCUAAGGGAUUUGAUGGGAUGCUGUCUCCUUGCAUUCAUUUGUAAGCUGCCAAAUCAUGCAAAGUAUUGUAGCCUCCAAAAUUAGGGGCUCUGAUUGAAAAAACACCAACCGUGAUCCUGCAUAGCAUUCAACUCUCUUUUUUCACUUUAUCGCUUCUCCCUAUCCAUCUGUGUGAUCGUGCAGUGCCUGAGGAUGUCUUGGAUGGUGUGUGGGACAGAGGCCAAGCAGCCCAGCAAUGUAGAGUUAUCUCUGUUGGUGUUGAAUACACUAACGCCUGUAACAGAUAUUGCGGUAGUAAAGAGAAU
Mauremys mutica (yellowpond turtle) is the source of this 338-nucleotide long non-coding RNA. RefSeq lists it as uncharacterized. NCBI's taxonomy places the organism in Eukaryota, Metazoa, Chordata, Testudines, Geoemydidae. The transcript is spliced from 3 exons. The record is from RefSeq and is a predicted model, not a curated record.